GGUAACAUUUCUAGCUUGCUAGAAGAUGACGAGUGGCGGACGGGUGAGUAAUACUUAGGAAUAUGCCUUUGUGUGGGGGAUAACUAUUGGAAACGAUAGCUAAUACCGCAUAACGUCUUCGGACCAAAGGGGGCUUCGGCUCCCGCGCAAAGAGUAGCCUAAGCGAGAUUAGCUUGUUGGUGAGGUAAAGGCUCACCAAGGCGACGAUCUCUAGCUGUUCUGAGAGGAAGAUCAGCCACACUGGGACUGAGACACGGCCCAGACUCCUACGGGAGGCAGCAGUGGGGAAUAUUGCACAAUGGGGGCAACCCUGAUGCAGCCAUGCCGCGUGUGUGAAGAAGGCCUUCGGGUUGUAAAGCACUUUCAGUUGUGAGGAAAGGUUGGUGGUUAAUACCCAUCAGCUGUGACGUUAGCAACAGAAGAAGCACCGGCUAACUCCGUGCCAGCAGCCGCGGUAAUACGGAGGGUGCGAGCGUUAAUCGGAAUUACUGGGCGUAAAGCGCACGCAGGCGGUUAUAUAAGCUAGAUGUGAAAGCCCCGGGCUCAACCUGGGAAUAGCAUUUAGAACUGUAUGACUAGAGUCUUGGAGAGGGGGGUGGAAUUCCAGGUGUAGCGGUG
This 618-nucleotide ribosomal RNA is filed under the name uncultured bacterium. RNAcentral describes it as "bacterial SSU rRNA". It matches the Rfam family "Bacterial small subunit ribosomal RNA", at positions 68 to 683 of the family's 1533-position model. The record is from RNAcentral.